GGAAUAUUGGGCAAUGGGCGAAAGCCUGACCCAGCAACGCCGCGUGAGUGAAGAAGGUUUUCGGCUCGUAAAGCUCUGUUGUUAAAGAAGAACGUGGGUAAGAGUAACUGUUUACCCAGUGACGGUAUUUAACCAGAAAGCCACGGCUAACUACGUGCCAGCAGCCGCGGUAAUACGUAGGUGGCAAGCGUUAUCCGGAUUUAUUGGGCGUAAAGCGAGCGCAGGCGGUUUCUUAAGUCUGAUGUGAAAGCCUUCGGCUUAACCGAAGAAGUGCAUCGGAAACUGGGAAACUUGAGUGCAGAAGAGGACAGUGGAACUCCAUGUGUAGCGGUGAAAUGCGUAGAUAUAUGGAAGAACACCAGUGGCGAAGGCGGCUGUCUGGUCUGUAACUGACGCUGAGGCUCGAAAGCAUGGGUAGCGAACA
RNAcentral lists this ribosomal RNA (424 nucleotides) under uncultured Pediococcus sp. RNAcentral describes it as "bacterial SSU rRNA". It matches the Rfam family "Bacterial small subunit ribosomal RNA", at positions 358 to 774 of the family's 1533-position model. The record is from RNAcentral. Lineage: Bacteria; Bacillati; Bacillota; Bacilli; Lactobacillales; Lactobacillaceae.